RNAcentral lists this ribosomal RNA (468 nucleotides) under uncultured bacterium. Its description in RNAcentral is "partial 16S ribosomal RNA". It matches the Rfam family "Bacterial small subunit ribosomal RNA", at positions 28 to 507 of the family's 1533-position model. The record is from RNAcentral.
GACGAACGCUGGCGGCGUGCUUAACACAUGCAAGUCGAACGGAAAGGCCCUGCUUUUGUGGGGUGCUCGAGUGGCGAACGGGUGAGUAACACGUGAGUAACCUGCCCUUGACUUUGGGAUAACUUCAGGAAACUGGGGCUAAUACCGGAUAGGAGCUCCUGCUGCAUGGUGGGGGUUGGAAAGUUUCGGCGGUUGGGGAUGGACUCGCGGCUUAUCAGCUUGUUGGUGGGGUAGUGGCUUACCAAGGCUUUGACGGGUAGCCGGCCUGAGAGGGUGACCGGCCACACUGGGACUGAGAUACGGCCCAGACUCCUACGGGAGGCAGCAGUGGGGAAUAUUGCACAGUGGGCGGAAGCCUGAUGCAGAAACGCCGCGUGCGGGAUGACGGCCUUCGGGUUGUAAACCGCUUUCGCCUGUGACGAAGCGUGAGUGACGGUAAUGGGUAAAGAAGCACCGGCUAACUACGUG